Molecule: ribosomal RNA, 254 nt
Filed under: uncultured bacterium
Lineage: Bacteria
Description: partial 16S ribosomal RNA
Rfam family: Bacterial small subunit ribosomal RNA
Source: RNAcentral
UACGGGGGGAGCAAGCGUUGUUCGGAUUUACUGGGCGUAAAGGGCGCGUAGGCGGCCACUGCAAGUCAGUUGUGAAAUCUCCGGGCUUAACCCGGAAAGGUCAACUGAUACUGCAGGGCUAGAGUGCAGAAGGGGCAACUGGAAUUCUCGGUGUAGCGGUGAAAUGCGUAGAUAUCGAGAGGAACACCUGCGGCGAAGGCGGGUCUCUGGGCCGAUACUGACGCUGAGGAGCGAAAGCGUGGGGAGCAAACAGG